GCAAACUUGGUCAUUUAGAGGAAGUAAAAGUCGUAACAAGGUCUCCGUAGGUGAACCUGCGGAGGGAUCAUUACAGAGUUCAUGCCCUUCCGGGUAGAUCUCCCACCCUGUGCUAUCAUUACCUUUGUUGCUUUGGCGGGCCGUCAGGCCUCGGUCAGGCUACCGGCUUCGGCUGGUAAGCGCCCGCCAGAGAACCCCAAACUCUGAAUGUUAGUGUCGUCUGAGUACUAUAUUUAAUAGUUAAAACUUUCAACAACGGAUCUCUUGGUUCUGGCAUCGAUGAAGAACGCAGC
Molecule: unclassified non-coding RNA, 293 nt
Filed under: uncultured fungus
Lineage: Eukaryota; Fungi
Description: partial contains small subunit ribosomal RNA, internal transcribed spacer 1, and 5.8S ribosomal RNA
Rfam family: Eukaryotic small subunit ribosomal RNA (bases 1-73)
Source: RNAcentral